GAUGAAGAACGCAGCGAAAUGCGAUAAGUAGUGUGAAUUGCAGAAUUCAGUGAAUCAUCGAAUCUUUGAACGCACAUUGCGCCCCUUGGUAUCCCGAGGGGCAUGCCUGUUCGAGCGUCAUUUCACCACUCAAGCCUGGCUUGGUGUUGGGCGACGUCCCCUUUGGGGACGCGCCUCGAAACGCUCGGCGGCGUGGCACCGGCUUUAAGCGUAGCAGAAUCUUUCGCUUUGGAAGUCGGGGCCCCGUCUGCCGGAAGACCUACUCGCAAGGUUGACCUGGGAUCAGGCAGGGAUACCCGCUGAACUUAAGCAUAUCAAUAAGCGGAGGA
RNAcentral lists this unclassified non-coding RNA (329 nucleotides) under soil metagenome. Its description in RNAcentral is "partial contains 5.8S ribosomal RNA, internal transcribed spacer 2, and large subunit ribosomal RNA". The stretch from base 1 to 120 matches the Rfam family "5.8S ribosomal RNA", at positions 35 to 154 of the family's 154-position model. The record is from RNAcentral.